CAGCCCGGCCUACUUCUUCCUCUGGC
RNAcentral lists this non-coding RNA (26 nucleotides) under Mus musculus (house mouse). The record is from RNAcentral. Lineage: Eukaryota; Metazoa; Chordata; Mammalia; Rodentia; Muridae.